CCAGUUAUCAGUGCUUAUACCACAUUUUUAAAGAUUUGCCUUGAGAGAAUCUUUAAACCUCUUUUGUUCUCCACCGGUAUUUCGCUUUCCAUUCUUAAGUUUGGAAUAGAAUAGUUGCUUUGGAAGACUAUAAUUCAGGCAUCUGCACAACAUGACCAGUCCAAUGAAGUUGAUGUUGAAGAAUCAUUGCUUCAAAGCUGGUGAUCUUUGCUUCUUCCAGUAAACUGGCAUUUGUUCGCCUGUCUUCCCAAGUGAUGUGUAAAAAAUUUUGUUGACACCGUUGAUGGAAACUUUUGAGGACUUGGAGAUGGUGUUUAUAAGUGGUCCAUGUUUAACAAGCGUUCAGUAAAGUUGGUAGUACAAUAGCUUUGUAAACAAGCAUUUUGCUUUUCCCUGAGAAUGUCCCAGUCCUCAAACAAUCUGCAAUUCAGUCGGGAGAAACUUGUGCUCGCAGAUCUCAGGGGAUGCUGGAUUUUGGCAUCAAUGUGGGCCCUUGUGGAAAGAUAACUGCACAGGUAGGGAAAGUGGUUGACAUUUUCCAAUGUUACACCAUUUGUGUAACUUUGGAAUUUGGAUUUGGAUUUGUGGUGCUGCAGAGGGGUUGUUUUGUGCUUGUUGGUACAGCACUUUGGUUUUUUGGAUAUUGAGCAAUAAGCCAACCUUCUGCAAAGAUAACUCUAUAGCCUCCAAUAUUUCUCUGAUGAAAAUACAGACCUCCUAAGGAAAAGGUUUCCCCAGCCACUCUGGGCAGCUCCCAAUAGAAUAAUAAAAACACGAUAAAAUUAAAAACACAAUAAACAUCAAACAUUAAAAACUUCCCUAAACAGGGCUGCCUUCGGAUGCGUUCUAAAAGUCACAUAGUUGUUUAUUUCCUUGACAUCUGAUGGGAUGGCUUUCCACAGGGCAGGUGCCACCACUGAGAAGGCCCUCUGUCUGGUUCCCUGUAACCUCACUUCUCGCAGUGAGGGAACCACCAGAAGGCUCUUGGAGCUGGACCUCAGUGUCCGGGCUAAACGAUGGACACAGAUGUAGCUGCAGCCAUACAGCUCAUGUUGUUGUUUAGUCAUUUAGUUAUGUCCUACUCUUCAUGACUCCAUGGACCAGAGCACGCCAGGCACGCCUGUCUUCCACUGCCUCCCACAGUUUGGUCAACCUCAUGCUGGUAGCUUCGAGAACACUAUCCAACCAUCUCGUCCUCUGUUGUCCCCUUCUCCUUGUGCCCUCCAUCUUUCCCAACACCAGGUUCUUUUCCAGGGAGUCUUCUCUUCUCAUGAGGUGGCCAAAGUCUUGGAGCCUCAGCUUCAGGAUCUGUCCUUCCAGUGAGCACUCAGGGCUGAUUUCUUUAAGAAUGGAGAGGUUUGAUCUUCUUGCAGUCCAUGGGACUCUCAAGAGUCUCCUCCAGCAUCAUAAUUCAAAAGCAUCAAUUCUUCAGCGAUCAGCCUUCUUUAUGGUCCAGCUCUCACUUCCAUACAUCACUACUGGGAAAACCAUAGCUCAUAACAGCUCAUACAUACAGCUCAUAACAGCCCCUUUUUCUGGGUUGCACCCAGUGAAAAGUCCUUUUCUUCAGCAUUCAUCUGCCACACUUCAACCGCACCUCACCAGUAGUAGGUAAAUCUAAUGAGAGAAGAAUAAACCAUAGGAAGCAAACACUGCAGUGAAGUGUCUGGCAGCCAUUCCACAUGCAGAAUUGACAACAGAGAUAAGUUCACAAAACACUGGUUGCCCCUCUGCUUUUAUAGUAUGCCUUCCCCUUAAGGAUGUUUUCCCCUCGAGUGACUGAAUUGGGUGUUGCUAAGCUGUAGAGCCAUCAAUCAAAGAUCAGAGGUAGGGUUUUUCUGUGUGAAUCACAGGGAUGAAGGAUGCAUUUGCAGCGGCUUACAUUCUACCAGCAGGGAUGCCAAUCGCUGCUAUUCUUGCCCACCCCACCCCCCACCUUUGGUUUAAAUUGCUAGGCAAUUUUGCUCCCUAACUUCAUGACAGGCAGCUGGGAAGGAAUACUGGAGCUAAAUUUCAUUUGCUCUAUAUUUUGUUUUAGUUACUGGCAUAUAUUUAAGUGAUAUAUGAACUAAAUCUGAAUGCAUAUUCCUAAAACCAGAGUGAUAGUCAUGUUAUACGGCCUCAGCAGCAACAACAGCCAAGAACCUGCAUGGCACCUUAAAAACGAGCAGAUGUUCUGUGGCAUAAGCUUUUGUGAGCUAGAGAACCCACUUCAUUAGAUGCAUGAGUUGUUACCCUCAGUUGGCAGAUUUUGUGUGUGCACGCGCAACAGGCACACACACACACACACACACCCCGGCACAGCACAGGAAACUGGAAACUGUGUCAUCAGAUAAGUGAUAAAAAUGCAGGCGGCACAUUGGAUCUGUGAUAUUUUCCGUGCAAAGCUCAAGUGUAUACAAUGGCAUCUACCGCUUGUAGUUAUUUUGAAUAUCAGUAAUAUUGUAUACAGCAGUACCUCGGGUUAAGUACUUAAUUUGUUCCGGAGAUCCGUUCUAAACCUGAAACUGUUCUUAACCUGAAGCACCACUUUAGCUAAUGGGGCCUCCUGCUGCCGCCGUGCCACUGGAGCACGAUUUCUGUUCUCAUCCUGAAGCAAAGUUCUUCACCCGAGGUACUAUUUCUGGGUUAGCGGAGUCUGUAACCUGAAGCGUACGUAACCUGAAGCGUAUGUAACCCAAGGUACCACUGUACUGUAACUCCAUUUGUUACAUGUAAAGAAUGUGCUUUUAUUGAAAAAUAAAAAAUUAAUGAGUAACGAGGAAUUUUUUUUUACAGUCAGCAAAUUUAGGCUUCAAUCCUACCUCCAAUCCUCAUCCCAAUGGGAGUAAGUCCAUUCAAUAGGAUGGACUUCUGAUAGGUACACAUGGCCAUGAUUGCACUGUUUAGCCUUAGUAAAGUUUCUCUGUGUGUGCAUUACCUUUAGCUUGCCAAAGACAUGCAUUUGUGUGUUUUGGGGUGCUACAGAAGAACACGGCUCUGAAAAAAGCUCUUUGGGGGGCAACCUCUCAGAGCAAAGUCAUGUGAGAUCAUGGCACCCAAAAUGGCCGCCGUGCUCUUGCGCAAGAAAACAGAAUACUCCGUUUUUUCCAGGGCACUUGCAGAGUAUGCUGAAGAUCUAUGUGUGUGUAGAGAGAUUGUCAUGUUCUACAGUGAAAGUAAAUGGUCACAGGGCAGGACCUGAGGAAAAGCACAUCAAAGUCCAUAAAAGGAAGAGAACAUGAGGAUGCAGAGAGAGGAGAUGGAGUAAAAUGGGGAAAGAAUAUCAUUUUGGGGUAGCGUGGGAAGAUCCUGGACCCAAAUCCAGGCUCAGAUCCUAACAUCUCACGGCAGUUCUCACUCCAUGUUUUUGAUUCAUGCGAAUCAAAUAGUAGUGCAGGAUAGAAUGUGCAUUGAUAGAAGCUUUUCUUUUCCCAGACCCAUCAUUUCAGAGGUCAUGACAAGGUACUGGUAGGUAGCAAUUUUGAAUUACCUUUUUAAAAAAGAAAAAGCUUAGUUUUGUUGACAAUUCUCCUUUUACUUCAAACCUUGAAAGUCCUGUCUGGGCUUUGUUGGUUCAUUUGCCUGCAAUUCCUUUUUAUUAGCUGCCUUGCUCUGUGUGUUCACUGCUGCAUUCAGGCUUUAUAUUGCCGUGUAAUAUUCUAAAUGCUCCAGAAUGAAUUCAGACUUUCCUCCCAUUGUUUUAGUGUUUCACUUUCCCUCUUGACAGUCCUGCAAUUUACUCUGCACUAAGGACCAGGAAAGGCCCUGCCUCUGGCUAAGCAUUCUGACUGCUGGAUAUAAUAACUAGUGUCACAAACAUAAUAAAAUUUUAUAUGAUUUUUUUAUUGGCUCCCUCCUGGAAGAAUUAUGGCAGCAGCGGUGGCCUGUUGAGCAAAUGUGUGUGGCUGCAGGCGGACUGCAUCUGUCUCCUCUCUUACAGAAGUCACCAUCUCCUCUCUCUCUGCCCCCUCUGUGCAAGGAAAAUCCACAUUAGUCAUAGCAACAGAGAUUAAAAUAAUUUUUUAAAAGGGGCUUACUUUACCCCUGUGCUUGUUUAAACUUAAAACUGAUUUCCCACCCUCCUUUCUUUCCUGGAACAAAGCCAGUAGCUUGUUGCUUAUUAUUGAUAAAUGGUUCGAACACGGACAUCGGUGCAUAAACUGUGUUUUGCACUCCUUCCUCGUCUCAUUUUAUGCAUCUAGGAACUUCUUUGAGGGAGGUCAAUAUGUAUGACAUCCAUUUCUGAAAACUGUGCUGAAAGUGCCAGGAAGCGCCAGCCUAAUGAGCCUAUAGCCCUCUGCUAGACCACCCUGCAGGAGUCUGCUGUAAUAAUGUUUCAGAUUUAUCUACAUGUCUUCCUAGUUUAUCUCUUGGGUGGCUGCUUUCUUGUGCAUCAAAAAAGAGCAACAAUAGAAUCAUGGAACUGUGGAGUUGGAAGGGACCACGAGAGACAUCUAGCUCAACACCCUGCGAUGCAGGAAUUCUUGGCUCAAACCCACAACCCUGAGAUUAUGAGUCUCAGGCUCUAUGAACUGGGCUAUUGCAUCACAGAAAAACAGACCAGGUAUUAUAGAUUUACGUAAGUUUUGCAUAUGCUAAUCUAUAUAUAAAGAUGCAAAUUUGGCAAGAAUUACUAUAAUUUAAAUAGAAACCCAGCACAUCUCUGCAUAGUGAGGAAGACUGUGGCCAGGUAAUCUAUGUGUCUGCUCAGUUUUCUGUCUAUGUUCUAUAUGUUGAAGAGCACUUCAAAACUGCCCACCUCCUCCCUGGCUUUCCCUUCUUCUUUAUUUAGUAAAACAAAUGUUAUUUGCCGUUAAACUGAACUUGGGCCAGACACUCUUCAAUUAGAGGCCCACCCUCACCAAAGUAGGACAUGUGGCCAUCCUAUUUAUAUGGCAUUAUUUAUUAUUUCUUAAAUUUCCAUAUUGCCCUUCAUCCAAGGAUCACAGGAUGGUUUGUAAUAAUAAUUUUAAAAAACCAUAAUGACAAACCAAAACAAUACCACUCCCCGCCACAGUUUAGAAGACCAUAGAUUGUUUGAUUAGCCAAAGGCCUGGGAGAAGAGAGAUGUUUUUGCCUGGUGCCUAAAGAUAUGUAACGGAGGCGCCAGGUGAGCCUCCCUGGGGAGAGCAUUCCAGAAAUGGGGAGCAACCACCGAAAAGGCCUAUUCUUGUGUUGCUACCCUCCGGACCUCUUGUGGAUGAGGCACACGAAGAAGAGCCUUAGAUGAUGAUCACAGGGUCCGGGACAGUUCAUAUGAGGAGAGAGACAUGAAUCUUGGCAAAACACAGCCAUUAGAAACUGUGUGCCAUCAUGAUUCAAGAAAAUGAGUCCUGGUUCCACUGAAAGAGACAUUGAACUGGAAGAAGCUGUGAGGUCAUCCAGUUGCAGCUCUCAACCUGGUACCCACAUUUACAGCAUCAGUGAUGGUGUUUGUUCAGAUUCUCUCAGGACUUCCCCCAAGAAAUGUGCCUCUGUGAUGGUGGCAAAGAGAGAGGCCCAGCUCUGUGGUUUACAAUUUAAUCCUGGGUUUCUUAUUGGCACAAAAUUGGAAGCAAGAAGAAUUACCGACAAGAGAAGAAUGGAGGAUGAAACUGAUGGGCUAUGCAGAAUUAGACAAACUAACAGUAAGAAUUUGAAACCUGCGGGACCAGAGAUUCUCAGAAAACUGGAGUAAAUUUACGGACUAUUUGAAAAGUAAUUGUGAGGAUCAGAUUACGCUAGUAGGUUUGCAAGAAGUUUUGUAAGGUGAAUUAUUUGAAAUAUUGCAAAAAAGACAAUGAGGAUUGUUAGUCAAUAUAAUUAAAGGUAAUAUGAAAUUAAGAAAUGCAUAAUAAGUGAUAAGAACGGAAAAUCAUCAGAGGUGUUGACGGAAGUCCAAAAAAAUGUUGCAUAAGAUGAGAAGUUUUGUUGUAUGAAUGAUAAUUAAUAUGCUAAAAACUAAUAAAAAUGUUAUAUUUAAAAAAAUCCUGGGUUUCUGUGGAGUCACCAAAAUGUUUAGAAAGUGUAAACUGAAGAUGUGGCAGAGAAAACAACAACAACAAUGAGGGAAAUUAAGUAACAGAGAAUCACAGGUAUUAACAAAGAUAGUUUGGAGUCUCAGGCCAUUUAGAGGAUGCUAUAAAAUUUGUCUGAGUUGUCUGUUGCUCAGCAGAGGUAAUGAAGCCUCACUUUUUGUCAGCAGGAUAAUUAAACACAACAUUGCUGUUGCUGUCCUGGCUGGAUGAGGUCAGCUUUUCCAGGGCCUCCGAUGAUCAAGGCACUGGGGUUUUAUUCCUGUUCUUAUUUGUAUUCAUAUUCCAGCAUGAGUCAAAACACCAAGCAACAGAUGAUCCAUUACUACAAACAAGGAACAAAUGUGCUAAAUUAAAAUAAAUUGAUAUAGAUUAUAGAGAUUACAUUCUUAAAAGGCCUGCAGCGCAGAUCUGGAAAGGCUAUUAGACAGACCACAGCAGAGAAUGGAGAGCCGUUCACAAAUACUAAUACAGCCUUGCUUACAGGAAAACACAUCUUAUUAUUUUCAAAUUUCGCAAACAAGAUGGGAAUAGAGGGGAUAUCCAAGAUCUGGCUUUAAAAGAAUUUUAGAAUGUCGGUUGGGGUAUUUAUAUAGAUGUAAUUUACUGUGUACAAAUUACUUACAUUCCCCAUUUGUGCUUUGAUGAAGGCCAUUAGCUUUAUUGCCCUUUGUCUGGACAUCCCACAGGCAUCUUGGUGGGUGAGGAACAUCAUUCGAAACAGCGUGCUAAACCAAAUGCACCUCAGUUUGAUCCAGUAAGGUACUGACAUUUCUUGCCUUCUUGUUAGGAAUGGGCAGAUCAGUUAAUUUCAGCUUCUCCCUGUUUCUCAUUUUUCCAGUAACCUUUCCAAUUCACCACAUUUAUAAUAAUAAUAAUAAUUUAUUAUUUAUACCCUGCCCAUCUGGCUGGGCUUCCCCAGCCACUCUGGGCGGCUUCCAAAAAAAAAAAAAAAAAAAUUUAAAAUACUGUACUACAUCAAACAUUAAAAGCCUCCCUAAACAGGGCCGCCUUCAGAUGUCUUCUAAAAGUCUGGUAGUUGUUGUUCUCUUUGACAUCUGGUGGGAGGGCAUUCCACAGGGAGGGCGCCAGUACCGAGAAGGCCCUGUAACUUGGCUUCUCGCAGUGAGGGAACCGCCAGAAGGCCCUCGGUGCUGGACCUCAGUGACCGGGUAGAAUGAUGGGGGUGGAGAAGCUCCUUCAGACCGAGGCCUUUUAGGGCUUUAAAGGUCAGCCCCAACACUUUGAAUUGUGCUCGGAAACGUAUUGGAAGCCAAUGUAGGUCUUUCAAGACCGGUGUUAUAUGGUCUUGGCGGCCGCUCCCAGUCACCAGUCUAGCUGCCGCACUCUGGAUUAGUUGUAGUUUCCGGGUCACCUUCAAAGGUAGCCCCACGUAGAGCGCAUUGCAGUAGUCCAAGCGGGAGAUAACCAGAGCAUGCACCACUCUAGCGAGGCAGUCCGCAGACAGAUAGGGUCUCAGCCUACGUACCAGAUGGAGCUGGUAAACAGCUGCCCUGGACACAGAUUUGACCUGUGCCUCCAUGGACAGCUGUGAGUCCAAAAUGACUCCCAGGCUGCGCACCUGGUCCUUCAGGGGCACAGUUACCCCAUUCAGGACCAGGGAAUCCUCCACACCUGCCCGCCUCCUGUCCCCCCAAAACAGUACUUCUGUCUUGUCAGGAUUCAACCUCAAUCUGUUAGCCACCAUCCAUCCUCCAACUGCCUCCAGUUCACCUUAAAAAAAAAAAAUUCUUAGGUUGGAAAACUGCACUGCAGAAUCUGAAGAAAAGCGCAUUUUAAAAGACAGCUGUAUUUUGGUUGGCAUAUUGUUCCAGAAAGUGCAAAUUUGUUCCCUUUCCCUAGGAAAUUCCUUGUUCAGUCUUGGUGAAAUGGGGGGGGGGAGAGACGGGUAUUACUAGGAAACAAGAGUAUCAAGCCAAAGUCCGCACAUUGGUUGCUACUCCUGUCUAUAAUUAUGUGUCCCUCCUCCAGUGCCUGAGAAAUAAAUCCCCUCAAAUAUAUUUCCUCAAACACAAUGCAAAGAUUGUUUGCUCAUCCUGUUCAGUUCCUGUUUGUACUGCCUCAAUGUCUAUAUAUUGAACAUGUGAACUCAGACACAUUUAAUCGCAUGCCAGGAUCUACCCUCCCAAUCUGAACAGAGAAGUGCAAAGUGUUUCCUUCUGUGAGCAAGUGCAGUGAUAGCUGAUGCGAUUGCCUUCUGGUGUGUUUGGGUGUUCAGGCCCAGAAACCUCCCCCCUAAAUAAAUUCACACUUGACUCAAGUUUUAGGUUUGCUUUUUGGCAGAAUUUAGGCCACAACUUUAUUGAUUACAGAAAGUGACUGGUUGCAUAGGCUCUGAUUCGACUAGCUCCCUGCCAUGCAGGUAGCGCUGACCCAGGGCACCAGCAUAGGUCAGCCAAGGGUGAACACCUGGAUAAGUGGAAAGCCGGGCAUGGGCUGACUCCGCCACCCAAAUGUCCCCCUGGACUCAGGCAUGGGCACAAUCCCCUCACAGGGGUUGACCAAACCGUCGAGUCCCUGGAUUCCUUUAACGGAAUACCCUUCACAUAGGGAUGGCGAGAGCGUUCUCCCAUCCCUAUCACCUGAACCAGAGCCUAUUCGCAACCUUACAAGUUGUGACGAUUUGCUACGCGGCAGGCGAAAUCCAAAUGGCAACAGCCAAUCAGCCAAGUGUGGGAAAUUCCUGCUGUGCCCCUGUCCCAACGACAGAUGACACACGGUGCCAUAGCAAGGUCAAGCACAACAAAGCUCUAAAAGUAGGGAGAGGUGGGCGGGUGUUCCGAAUGCACGCACCGAAAGAGGAAGCUCUGGGUCACGUGCAUGGGCAUAAAUAGGUCCCUCAAACCGUUUGGACUGCGUCCCAUUGGCCAGAUUGCACACAGCUUCGAGGGACCUACCAAUUGAGUGUUGUGGCUUACCACUUGAACCCACCCACAACACAGUGUGUCGGUUGUCCAGGUUUCACCGCAAUAUGUGCCCUCUUUAAGGGAGGACCCAAUUUGUCUAAUGGGGGAAUGCUCACACCUUUUUGUGAUCCGGUCUCUUUUAUUUGUGGCAGCCAUUUUGUGUCAUGUUAUGCCACCCUUCCCCCAUGACAGUCAACUUGUGAUGUACCACACUCCCACAACAGCAUACCCUGCAAGUGUCCCGGAAAAGAACGAGAUGUCUUGUUUUCUCAUUUGAGAACACAGCAGCCAUUUUGGGUGCUGUGCUCUCUUGCAAUUUCACACUGAGAUCUAUUAUUAUUAUUAUUAUUAUUAUUAUUAUUAUUAUUAUUUUCAAUUUUAUACAUUUCAAUAAUUUUACAAUCCUUUUAACAUUUCAAAACUUGACUUCCUUCCCCCUCUUUCUGUGGUUUCUUAAAUUUAUUCUCAAUACUUUCUGCAUAUCCAAAUUAACUUAAUUUGCUCAUUUAUUCAUUUACUUUAACUAUAUACUCUUAUAAAAAUGCAGGUUAUUACAACAAUCCUGCCAAUGUUCUUAUCUGUUUACAGUUUAUUUGUAAAUAUUCAAUAAACCAUUUCCAUUCUUUUAUAAAAAGUUUGUUAUCUUGAUUUCUUAUUUUUCCAGUAACUUUCGCCAUUUCUGCAUAUUCCAUACGUUUUUGUAUCCAUUCUUCUUUUGCCACUGUAGUUGUAUACAUGAAUAAAUUUCUAUACAGUUUGGGUAGUUCUGUCCCUAUAAUUCCCAAAAGGAAAGCUUGGGGGCUUUUUUUACAAUUCACACUGAGAUCUUGCCCAGAAAAAAAGCGUGACGCCCCAAAAUGCAUGGUUUUGGGUGCUGUGCGAGCAUGGCCCUGAAAAAAUCAUGUCUUUGGGGCUCUGUGAUCUCUUGUGGGUCAUAUGACUUACGUGGGAAAACAGGUAGGAAUAUGCAUGUCCCGGUUUUGGGACCCAAGAUUCGGAGGAUAUGCAGCAGUUUUUUCCCCACCACUGGUACCCACAGCACUUUCCAAGUUGCAAAUUUGCCCACUGGCCCCAAAGGAUUGGCAACCCCUGAGCUGUGUUAUUAGCUAGUUUAAAAAGAGAGAUAAAACAGUUGUGAAAUAUUGCGCAUACUUGUGAGGUAAGUCCUUAAGCCCUUCCCUCACUUAAUCCAGAGGACCAGUGUCCUUCUCACUCUGUAUACAGUGUGAGGAAGCCAAACAUGACACAGGCUCUUACCUAGUCUCUUAAUUGCAUAACAGCUUAAGAUGGCUUUACAUGAAGCAACACAACUUGGUCUUUAAAUGGCCCUCACUAAUAUGUCCUCCCAUUUUGGAACGUUAUUUUCAGUAAUAUAUGGAUCUAUAUGCAUGCUUUACCUUGUUAUAUGGGUUUUUGCAAACAUUACUUAGGCGGAGAGCUGCAUUGCAAAAUUCAGAGAGAUGCAAUUUUGAAGGACAAGUGUGUUUUGGUCUGCAUAUUGUUUCAAAAUGUGUGAGCAUUUAAAGUUCACCUUUAAAUGCAUACUGGGAUGAAUUUCUACCUCUUCUCUAGCAUUGAGUGGGUGUGAGUGAGUCCCCAGAAGCACCUAUUGGUUUCCAUAUUGGUUCCUAUGAAUUUCCAUAUUGGUCCCUACAAAUUUCUGCUUUGUAUUAAGUCCUUGUGGGUUCAAUGUGGCUAACUCCCAGGCAGGUGCAUUUAGGGUCAUAGCCCAUGUACCUCAUGUGAUGUGGGAAAACAGCUAAUGUACAUUGUGAGUCAUAAGGAACGGGUAAUUUUCAUGUAUUCUUUAAGCAAGCACAGAGAUAUGACUGGCAAUUAGGAGAAUAAUUUUGUAAUGGGUAAAGAUGUUGUAUAAGAUGUGCCUCAGAUGUGCAUCUGGUAGGGCUUCUGGAAGUUUCUCAGCUAUUCUCGAAUCUGUGUCUUAUAUCUGAGUAUGCCCUGCCCAUGUCUGAAAAGCAUGAGCCCGUCUCUGUUUUCCACAGAUGAGUUUGGCUACCGCACGGUUAGAACAACUCCAAAACAUGCAGAGAAAGCAUAAUCUAAUUUACAUGAUGAUAUUCUGAUUGCAAAUGGCAAAAGAGCAGCUCCAUAGAGUGAGCUGGAUUUAUGGCAUGCAUAUCUGGUGGUUUAGAUCAACUGAUAAGUGAACGAGGUACUUUUCAGGACAAUCUAACACAGCUGGAGGCAUCAAAACAAACAAAAAUGGACAGUCUGACUCGGUAAACAACAAUAAAAUUCUUUUGUAGCUUGAUAAGCUCAUUGAGGCCCAACUGAAUAUUUCAUUGAAAGACGGAGGAGAGCCUGGCAGCUCAGCAUUUCAUGUCUCGCUCCCGAAACGAAGGCUGCAAUUAUGUGCACAGUUAGCUUGGCUAAAUCCUAUUGAUUUCUCUCACGCUGUUACAAGGUAGAGCCUAUCCAUGAAAUUUGUUCAAAAUAAUAGUGUAUAUGUAUUUUCAUAUCAUAGUUACUUAUUGAAAGCGAUCCCUUAUUGGGAUGAAAUAGUUUUACGUUCAAAACAGUGCAAUGGCAGAAUAUGAAAAUGUUGCCCUUUGCUUCGGCCGAGUGACCAGUUACAUGGUCACCAGUGGUGGCUGGUGGGAUUUGUGAUCCAUAACGUGGAUCAUCUCCUGACCCGGGAAAAUUUCGUGCACCAAGGCAUAUUGAUGGAACAGGGUUGGCACUCGUCUAUAACCAGAGGCCCAUUUCCUAGGAAAAGCUCCAGUAGCCUUUCUCGACUCGACAAAUGAGCUGGAACAACUGCUAGCACUGCAUGGUGUUUUUCUCCGGUGGAAAUCAGAAUGACUGUACAUUGCUGCAGAUUUGUUUUUAUGGACCUGCAGUUUUAUGGUGGAUUUUCAUUAUUGUAUUUUGCUCGAUGCUUCAUACCUUUAACUGAUUCUGAUGCCUCUGUAUCUACACCCUGGGAGCUGCAGGUUGAAGGGCGGAUUACAAAUACUUUAAAGCAAAUGUCUUGACCAAAAAGUAGCCACUUGCUUGCCACAGCUGGGAUUUUUAAAAGUGCAAUAGAGCCUCAUAGUUGGCCAUUGUGAAUCUAAAGGAAUGAACUGCAUUCUGAGAGCAGUAUCAGCUGAUGGGGUGGUUCACUGAGCAAAAUUGUGUGGGGACAAAAUGCCUUUUGCCUCCCACCACAGUGGUACCUAUUUAUCUACUUGCACUGGUGUACUUUUGAACUGCUAGGUUGGCAGGCGCUGGGACAUGGGAGCUCACUCCAUCGUGGGGAUUCGAACCACCAACCUUCUGAUCGGCAAGCCUAAGAGGCUUGGUGGUUUAGACCACAGCGCCACCCACGUUAUAUAAUGUAUGCAUUAUGCCACAAUGGAAGGUGGGCCAGGACCCGGACCAUGCCACUGAACCUCCCCUUAACACACUCAGUGUGGGCAAAUGCGUGGUGGGGCCCUGCUAUGUGUGAGCAGCUGCUCAGGGUAGGUGCUCCUCACAAUCACAACCCACAAAUGUCUUGCCGGGAUCCUGAACAUGUGACAUGCUUUCAGAUGGGAUGAGCAGGUGCUCAUAUGCAACCCCCUCUGGGUAUGAGUCCAAGCUGGGGCAGGUGUUGAGGGUGGGAUUGGCAGAGGAGGGUGUGCAGUCCCGCACCACCUUCGGGCAUGAUAGCCAUAAGCAUGGAAAAAGACAUGCCGAAAGGAAUUCUCUCUCGCACUGGAAUCCCAACACUAGAAGACAGCCAGCACAAUCCUAUGUGUAUCUCCUCUGAUGUAAGUCCCACUGAGGUCAAAGUCCCACUUACNNNNNNNNNNNNNNNNNNNNNNNNNNNNNNNNNNNNNNNNNNNNNNNNNNNNNNNNNNNNNNNNNNNNNNNNNNNNNNNNNNNNNNNNNNNNNNNNNNNNUCUUAACCUGAGGCAUCACUUUAGCUAAUGGGGUCUCCUGCUGCCACUGUGCCAGCAGAGCACGAUUUCUGUUCUCAUCCUGAAGCAAAGUUCUUAACCCCAGGUACUACUUCUGGGUUGGCGGAGUCUGUUACCUGAAGCGUCUGUAACCUGAAGCGUCUGUAACUCGAGGUACAACUGUACUCUGAAUUCUGUGCAUCAGCAGAUAAAAACGUCCUUUUGGUCAAUUUUCUCAGAUUUCUGCUUAUCUGUAUAUUAAUGGCAAAACCAAAACCAGUUUUUGAGGGUGGUGGAUACCUACUUUGUUGGAGGGAUAAAGAAGAAAGCAUAGGACCUUACCACAAAAGAAAAGUCUUUUUCUGUUUUAAAACAACAAAACUGCAAGCCCCAGACAUGCUGCUUCCUUCCUGCUUCAGUCUUUGAGAGGGAAUAUGAGACUGGCCAUUGUGACCCCAUGCUGAUCUCCCCAGCUGGAAGGAGAUGCUGGCCACUGUGACCUCAUGGUGAUGCUAUAUGAAAGACAUCAGCCAGCCAUUGUGACCUCAUGCUGAUGUCAAUUUGCAGGAGAAAGCCCACUUACUGCCAGCUGGCUGGGAGCAUCGGUUGUGGUCCAGGAUGGCAAUGGCGGGUCGGGGCAGCAUCUUGGCUUUGGUGUGGCCGGGGGAUGAUUUCACUCCGUCCUCCGGCCACACUGAGCGAUGGGGCUCAUCCAUGGUUGCAGCCAAUUGUGGGCGAGCUCAGGGGCAUGGUUUGGGAGCGAAACAGAAGGAAAUCUUGGGUCAGAUUCCAUCACCCAUUGUUCCCUACUCUGUGUGUUUGUGGGCUGCCCUGUAGAGGACCUUGCUGUGCAAAUUUUCAGUCACAGUAGCCAGAGCCAGGGAGAAAUUUGCCUUCAGACUGACUGGGUCUGUCUGAGGGUUUUGCCCAUCUCAUAGCAAUUGUGACGACUUAUGGUGGAUAAGGCAAUGAAUUGGAUCCUUAGUCUAAUUGGACAAGGAAUAGCUCCUCUCCCAACCCACCCCAAGGGAUCAAGAGUAUCCCCUUGAUGGGAUCCUGGGGAGGUGCUUUUGUCUGGAAACCCAAAAAAGGGACCGGCGCUGCAUUUGAAUGACCUCUGUAUAAAAUAAUAACAAAGAAAUAAGGAAAAUUGGUACGAUACAUUGUAAGAAUGUACAGUGGUACCUCGGGUUAAGUACUUAAUUCAUUCCGGAGGUCCGUUCUUAACCUGAAACUGUUCUUAACCUGAAGCACCACUUUAGCUAAUGGGGCCUCCUGCUGCCACCGCACUGCCAGAGCAUGAUUUCUGUUCUCAUCCUGAAGCAAAGUUCUUAACCCGAGGUACUAUUUCUGGGUUAGCAGAGUCUGUAACCUGAAGCGUAUGUAACCCGAGAUACCACUGUAUUACAAAAUAUGAAAAGACGAAGGUAAUAAUCAUAGGUACAUUCGAUCUUAGAAAUUUUAAAUGCACUGGUAGUUGAUGGGAAGUCUAUCACGCAUUAGUAAGAAUGUUGAACAAAAGAG
This 14331-nucleotide long non-coding RNA is filed under the name Podarcis lilfordi (Lilford's wall lizard). Lineage: Eukaryota; Metazoa; Chordata; Lepidosauria; Squamata; Lacertidae. The record is from RNAcentral.